Long non-coding RNA from Maniola jurtina (meadow brown), 694 nucleotides. RefSeq lists it as uncharacterized. The transcript is spliced from 3 exons. Lineage: Eukaryota; Metazoa; Arthropoda; Insecta; Lepidoptera; Nymphalidae. The record is from RefSeq and is a predicted model, not a curated record.
UAAAAUUCUUUCAAACGAUUUUUAAAAAUGGGCAGGGAUUUCGAACUCCGAAUAUUCUUGGGGAGGUCAUUCCACAGUUGUACUGCAUAUACCGUAAAGGACCUCCCGGAGAAUUUUGUGUAAUUUCUUGGGGUUUGGAGCUUGUUAUCCGAGCAAGAGCGCAACUUCAUGUGGCGAUCAGCAGCACCGAGGAAAGUGAAGCGAUCUUUAAGGUAGGGAGGAGUGUGAGGCUCAUAGAGAAUAGAAAAGAGUAGAAUGAGGACGUGGAAAUUUCGUCGCCGUCUAAUUGGCAACCACUUGAGACGAGAACGGUAUUCGCUGACAUGGUCAAAUUUUCUCAAGCCAAAGACAAAUCGAAUGCAAAGAUUUUGCAACCGUUCCAGCUUGUUUAGUAACUCCUCAUUCAAAUCCGUAUAGCUGCUAUCGGCAUAAUCAAGAAUGGGUAAGAGCAGAGAUUCAGCCAAGGAUAUUUUUGUUUUGAUUGGGAGGAGAUUCUUCCAUCUUUUAAGGGAGCCGACAGCAGCGAAAAGGCGUCUGCUUACAUAAUUGAUAUGCGGAAUCCAGGAGAAUGACGAGUCAAUAAACAAGCCGAGAUUCUUGACAGUAUGACUGAAUGGCAAUGUCGAGUUAUUCAGCACAAUCGAACCUACUGAAUUGGGAUCGAUUUUACAGGUUAGAUUAGAAUAUAAUAUAU